UGAGGAAUAUUGGUCAAUGGGCGAGAGCCUGAACCAGCCAAGUCGCGUGCAGGAUGACUGCCUUAUGGGUUGUAAACUGCUUUUAUACAGGAAUAACGGGUCACACGUGUGUGAUUAUGAAUGUACUGUAAGAAUAAGGAUCGGCUAACUCCGUGCCAGCAGCCGCGGUAAUACGGAGGAUCCAAGCGUUAUCCGGAUUUAUUGGGUUUAAAGGGUGCGUAGGCGGUUUCUUAAGUCAGUGGUGAAAGUUUGCAGCUCAACUGUAAAAUUGCCAUUGAAACUGGGAGACUUGAAUACGGUAGAGGUAAGCGGAAUGCGUGGUGUAGCGGUGAAAUGCAUAGAUAUCACGCAGAACCCCGAUUGCGAAGGCAGCUUACUGGACCGUUAUUGACGCUGAGGC
This 400-nucleotide ribosomal RNA is filed under the name uncultured bacterium. RNAcentral's name for it is "bacterial SSU rRNA". It matches the Rfam family "Bacterial small subunit ribosomal RNA", at positions 355 to 752 of the family's 1533-position model. The record is from RNAcentral.